RNAcentral lists this ribosomal RNA (235 nucleotides) under uncultured bacterium. Its description in RNAcentral is "partial 16S ribosomal RNA". It matches the Rfam family "Bacterial small subunit ribosomal RNA", at positions 96 to 334 of the family's 1533-position model. The record is from RNAcentral.
UGGCGGACGGGUGAGUAAUGUCUGGGAAACUGCCUGAUGGAGGGGGAUAACUACUGGAAACGGUAGCUAAUACCGCAUAACGUCGCAAGACCAAAGAGGGGGACCUUAGGGCCUCUUGCCAUCGGAUGUGCCCAGAUGGGAUUAGCUAGUAGGUGGGGUAACGGCUCACCUAGGCGACGAUCCCUAGCUGGUCUGAGAGGAUGACCAGCCACACCGGAACUGAGACACGGUCCAG